This 994-nucleotide long non-coding RNA is filed under the name Triticum aestivum (bread wheat). RNAcentral describes it as "long non-coding RNA (TAES_LNC014118)". Lineage: Eukaryota; Viridiplantae; Streptophyta; Magnoliopsida; Poales; Poaceae. The record is from RNAcentral.
CCCUCGGCUGCGCAUGACGGCGGCGGCGGCAGCUCUGGCAGAAGGGAUCCCUGACUUCUGGUUAUCGCACGCAUUCCUUCUCUCUCACCUCUCUCUCACAUCUCUCGUAGUAUUACUCUCACAUCUCGCGCGCCUUCUGUUCCCCUGUUUCUAGAUGGGAGGGUCCGACAUACCUAGGAUGGUGGAUGGAGGGGCGAAGGUGGAGGAGGAGGACGAACCGUGGGCCAAAAUUACCUCCGUUGUGUACUUCAGAAAGCAUCAGGUAAAUCAUCUUCCCUUUUCUCAGAAAAAAUUGUAGGAUGUUAGGUUCAAUUGGAGUUGAACUCAGGAAGAUGAGCUGGACAAGGGUAAGAUGUGCAGGCACUUUGAGUCAGCAGCUAUGCGGGUAUGCAAAGGAGUGGACACUGGAAGGAGAUUUUUGUCAUGCCAAUAUGAGGUAAAUUGCUUGCUACCAUUAGGCCUCUUUACUUUACAAUCGGCGUUUUGUCAUCGGUUGGUAAUGUUAGUAUGUAUGUAAUAGUCUGCAAUUUUGCCUGAACAGGAGACGUGUGGUUAUGUCAAAUGGAUUGACAAGCCAAGCCAUGGGAGGGGAGGUAAAGAACUGUCAUUGGUGAAGUUGCUAACAACAAAGAGGUGCUAGAGAAGAAGCUAAUGCAGAAAGAUGGUCAGAUAGAAACUGAGGAGAAGCACGGACUUGAGAAGAAGAAGAUUGAAAGGAUGCACAAAGAUCAGUUACAAUCUAGAGAUAGGACGAUUAUGUUUGUUGUGUUCAUGUACUUUGGGUUAGUCGUAAUCAUGUUUGAUGUGGUUGACAAGAAGUAAUGUUGUCAUUGUCCAGUCUAGAAGGUCAUGUAUGUUGCUGAAAAUUUGUAUUUUGCUGAAUAAUCUUUGGUGAAUUACAAAGAAUGUACCUUUUGGUAAAGAUUUUUUUUGUCAAUAUUUUACUGCUUUAGAAUUGAAACAGACUAUGCAUGUUUAGACAGCAACAAUUGAU